AACCUACGGGGCGCAGCAGUGGGGAAUAUUGGGCAAUGGGCGCAAGCCUGACCCAGCAACGCCGCGUGAAGGAAGAAGGCUUUCGGGUUGUAAACUUCUUUUCUUGGGGACGAAGAAAGUGACGGUACCCAAGGAAUAAGCCACGGCUAACUACGUGCCAGCAGCCGCGGUAAUACGUAGGUGGCAAGCGUUAUCCGGAUUUAUUGGGUGUAAAGGGCGUGUAGGCGGGAUUGCAAGUCAGAUGUGCAAACCACG
Molecule: ribosomal RNA, 255 nt
Filed under: uncultured bacterium
Lineage: Bacteria
Description: partial 16S ribosomal RNA
Rfam family: Bacterial small subunit ribosomal RNA
Source: RNAcentral